This 779-nucleotide ribosomal RNA is filed under the name Pterostichus mucronatus. RNAcentral describes it as "partial 16S rRNA". The stretch from base 1 to 551 matches the Rfam family "Bacterial large subunit ribosomal RNA", at positions 1907 to 2925 of the family's 2925-position model. Lineage: Eukaryota; Metazoa; Arthropoda; Insecta; Coleoptera; Carabidae. The record is from RNAcentral.
GCCCACUGAGAUUUUAAAUGGCCGCAGUAAUUUGACUGUGCGAAGGAAGCAUAAUAUUUAGUUUUUCAAUUAAAAGCUUGUAUGAAAGGCUGGACGAAGAAAAAUCUGUCUCUAUUUAAAACAAAUUAGAAUUGAAUUUUUAAGUCAAAAAGCUUAAAUUUUAAUAAAAGACGAGAAGACCCUAUAGAACUUUAUAAUUUAUUUAAUAUUAAUAAAUUAAGAUUUAUUUAAGUUUUAUUAAUUAAAUUAUUUUAUUGGGGUAAUAAAAAGAUUAAAUAAAUUCUUUUUUAUAAUUAACAUUUAUUUAUGGAAUAAAUGAUCCAUUUUUAUUGAUUAUAAGAUUAAGUUACCUUAGGGAUAACAGCGUAAUUUUUUUGAAGAGUUCAUAUCGAUAAAAAAGUUUGCGACCUCGAUGUUGGAUUAAAGAUUAAUUUAGGUGUAGAAGUUUAAAUUUUUGGUCUGUUCGACCAUUAAAUCUUUACAUGAUCUGAGUUCAGACCGGUGUAAGCCAGGUCGGUUUCUAUCUUUAUUAAAUUUAAAUAUUUUAGUACGAAAGGACCAAAUAUUUGAUAUAUUUAUAUUUUAUAUUUUGAAUAUUAAUAUUAUUUUGGCAGAUUAGUGCAAUAGAUUUAGAAUUUAUAAAUGUAAAUUAUAUUACAAAUAAUACUUGUUUUAUAUAGAUUUAUUAUUUUCUUUAAUUUGUAUAUUAUUAUUAUUAAUUUGUGUUUUAGUAGGUGUUGCUUUUUUAACCUUAUUAGAACGUAAAGUAUUAGGAUAUA